CCCGCACAAGCGGUGGAGCAUGUGGUUUAAUUCGAUGCAACGCGAAGAACCUUACCUACUCUUGACAUCCUGCGAACUUGUGAGAGAUCACUUGGUGCCUUCGGGAGCGCAGAGACAGGUGCUGCAUGGCUGUCGUCAGCUCGUGUUGUGAAAUGUUGGGUUAAGUCCCGUAACGAGCGCAACCCUUGUCCUUAUUUGCCAGCGGGUAAUGCCGGGAACUCUAAGGAGACUGCCGGUGACAAACCGGAGGAAGGUGGGGACGACGUCAAGUCAUCAUGGCCCUUACGAGUAGGGCUACACACGUGCUACAAUGGCCGGUACAAAGGGUUGCGAGCUCGCGAGAGUCAGCUAAUCCCGAAAAGCCGGUCUCAGUCCGGAUCGGAGUUUGCAACUCGACUCCGUGAAGUCGGAAUCGCUAGUAAUCGUGAAUCAGAAUGUCACGGUGAAUACGUUCCCGGGCCUUGUACACACCGCCCGU
This 478-nucleotide ribosomal RNA is filed under the name uncultured bacterium. Its description in RNAcentral is "bacterial SSU rRNA". It matches the Rfam family "Bacterial small subunit ribosomal RNA", at positions 920 to 1397 of the family's 1533-position model. The record is from RNAcentral.